Helianthus annuus (common sunflower) is the source of this 445-nucleotide long non-coding RNA. RefSeq lists it as uncharacterized. Lineage: Eukaryota; Viridiplantae; Streptophyta; Magnoliopsida; Asterales; Asteraceae. The record is from RefSeq and is a predicted model, not a curated record. The transcript is spliced from 3 exons.
UUGACCGACCAACAUACAGGAGGAGAAAUAGAGUUCUUCCUACAAACCCUAAAUUCACUAAAUAUCAUUCAAAAUCAAAGAGAGAAACAGAAUUGAACUCGAUUCAAAGCUAAAUUCGUGAUCACCAUAGUUAGUAGAUCACAAGGCAAUUUGGGUGGAUCAUCAAGUAAUCAAGGCGGAACGAAUAAUCUUUUAAAGGGAAAGCUUUAAAGGUAACUAUGAACAUCUUUCGGAUGGCGAUCAAGUUUGCUAGAGGACCGAACACACAAACCAACGAAGCUUCCACUGCUACUUUAUAUAGUAAUGUUUAACUUUUUGGUUUUAUUUUAAUUAUGUAAUCUUUUUUUAUAUUACUAGGUUGUGGACCCCGUGUGUUACACGGAUUGAAUAAAGAAAAUAUCUCAUGUAAAUAAAGAUGAUAAAUACCAUAAAAAAUGCUUAAGAC